This is a long non-coding RNA of Gorilla gorilla gorilla (western lowland gorilla), 383 nucleotides long. RefSeq lists it as uncharacterized. The transcript has 3 exons. Lineage: Eukaryota; Metazoa; Chordata; Mammalia; Primates; Hominidae. The record is from RefSeq and is a predicted model, not a curated record.
UCUUCCAGGGAGAAAGGAGCCUGACUGCUUAAGCACCCCUCCAGGCAGGAUGGACAGCGGCUCCAAAUAUCUAACAGAUGUCGUGCUGUACCUCAGGAUGAAUCUAUUAUUGAUUCGGAACUCUUGCUCGGGCUCUUCGCUCUGCAGUGACAACGCUUCCAACCCUUCUGGUCCAAAGCCUCCCAGGGGCCCACCAAUCCACGCUCCUUUGUCAUCUCCCUGACUGAAUAGAAUCUCUCCCUUCUUGGAGAUUGCACAGGAACACAGGAAAGGUUCCAGUGCAGGAUGGAUUUGUGAUAUAAACACCCCAUUCUUUAUGUCCAUUCCUCCAUCAUUAACCUUCCUACUCAGUCCUCGAAAUGAAAAGCCCGGCAUCUUCCAUC